RNAcentral lists this ribosomal RNA (465 nucleotides) under uncultured bacterium. RNAcentral's name for it is "partial 16S ribosomal RNA". It matches the Rfam family "Bacterial small subunit ribosomal RNA", at positions 339 to 795 of the family's 1533-position model. The record is from RNAcentral.
CUACGGGGGGCUGCAGUGAGGGAUUUUGCGCAAUGGGGGAAACCCUGACGCAGCAACGCCGCGUGAGUGAAGAAGGCCCCUGGGUCGUAAAGCUCUGUCAACAGGGAAGAAGUUACUUUGUAUUAAUAGUAUGAGGUAUUGACGGUACCUGUGAAGGAAGCACCGGCUAACUCCGUGCCAGCAGCCGCGGUAAUACGGGGGGUGCAAGCGUUAUUCGGAAUUAUUGGGCGUAAAGGGCACGCAGGCGGUCCUGUCAGUCAGAUGUGAAAGCCCGGGGCUCAACCCCGGACGUGCAUUUGAAACAGCAGGACUUGAGUACGGGAGAGGAAAGGGGAAUUCCUGGUGUAGAGGUGAAAUUCGUAGAUAUCAGGAGGAACACCGGUGGCGAAGGCGCCUUUCUGGACCGAUACUGACGCUGAGGUGCGAAGGCGUGGGUAGCGAACGGGAUUAGAUACCCGCGUAGUC